Macaca mulatta (Rhesus monkey) is the source of this 1749-nucleotide long non-coding RNA. The record is from Ensembl. NCBI's taxonomy places the organism in Eukaryota, Metazoa, Chordata, Mammalia, Primates, Cercopithecidae.
GCCUGGCCGCAGGGAGGGAAACCUGGGCCCCUCGAGCCCCUGGGGGAGGGAGGUACCCUAGGAGCUGUCCUGGGAGCCGCACCCUCCCCAGGCCGGUGGGGGGUGCAGGUGCUCUGUCCCGUGGUCGGGUGGGCAGCGGAGCCUCCGCCUCCCGCUCGAGGACCCCGCACGGCGAGCGCCGCGCCGGUCCCGCCACGCCCCGCAGGCGCCGUCCCCGCUGCCACUCCCUCCCGCGGGCCCAGCUGAGCCGCGGCCGCGCUUCCUGCACCCAGGACCCGACAGAGAGACAGAUUAUUGCUAUGGCUAUGGCUACAGUCUUGCCCAAGCUCUUCUUGAUGUCCUGGCCUCAAGUGAUCCUCCCAUCUCAGCCUCCCAAGGUACUGAGAUUAUAGGCAUGAGCCACCAUGCCCAGCCUUCAACCAGAUUUCUUGACAGCACCUUUACAUGUGAUUCUUACACCAGUCUUCACUAUUAACCCCAUUUUAAAGAAGCAGAAACCAAGGCCCAGGGAGGCUACAUAACUUGCUAGAGCUCUCAGAGCUAAAAAGCAACAGAUGUGCAAUUCAAACCCAGGCAUUCAGAUGCCCAAGUCCCCUGCACUCCCACUCUCCUAAACUGCCUCAGCCUGAGCAAGCCCAACCUGAAGCCUUCCUCCUGGAGUCCAAAGUCCAGCCAGGAAUGUGACAUGGGCUCCCCAGCCCUCCAGAUGUGUGUGCUCACACUUCGUCUAGACUUGUUCCUCCCUGGCCUUCGAACGUUCCGCCCUCAGAUGUCCCCAUUAGUCACAGUCUGUCUGAGAGCCCUCGGAUUAGCUGGAUCGGAGCAGACGCAACUUUGUGGUGGUCAUCAGUUUGUCCCAUUCAUCAGCUCAGGCCCGAGCCUGUUGGAGUGUGGUUGUUGCCAAAAACAAGAACUCUUAGGAAAGAAAACCAGUCUCUUUCUGCCUGAAACUGUCCUGAAACUUGACUCAGCAUCGGCAAUUAUUUUCCAGAAGGAAAGUUACCGACCUGAUUCUGCAGCCACAUGCUCUGCUCUAGAAAGCUCAUGGUGACGGGAAGCACAGGACAGGGGUGGAUCAGCAAGAGAAGGCUUGGGCCUGAGCAGGGAUUGAGAUGAGCUGGCGCUAGAACAGAGGGAGGAAGUAGGAACUCAUUCUGUUGUUUAGGGGAUAAAGAGAGAUUUCCGCUAAGGCUAACCAGCUGUGCUAAUUGGAAGAACGAAGUGGAAAAACAGUAAUUUUCAAAAGUAGAUCAUCUGUGCACAUUCUGAAAUAUAUGCACAUUCUUCCACUAGUAUGAGUUUGCAGUGAGGAUGUAUCUGAUGCAUCCAUUUCUGUAUCAGUCAGACUCAGCAAGAAGCAGAUGGCACCCUCAAGCAGGGUAAUUGACAAAAAUUUAACACAAAGGUGUGGACAGGGCUAAGGGAUGGUGCCACACGGUGGGACUGGCAUGCCUCGGGAGCUCACUAGCCCUAGGCUUGCAGGAGGAAGGGAGAGAGAAGUGCAGGAGAGGGACUCCAACAGGAGCUGAGCUGACAUCUUCAGCCAAGGGAAGCAGCCAACCUGAAGUGACCCCGGCAGAGUGGAUAAAUACUCCCGGGUCUUCACUCUCCUCCCAUCCUCUGAUCUCCAGUUAAUGCUUCCUAUCGCCCAAAUCUAGCAGACGCUGGAAGGCAGGGAGCCGGGUGACAUCAUCCUUAGAGUAGGGGGAUGGAGACUGGAUCUGGAUAGGUGGAUAGAAAGUGCACAGC